CCCGGACCUCUAGGAGCCCAGUCUGGCGCUAGACCUGCAGGCCUUUCUCCCGAGGCAUCAGUGCGGCGUGUCCUGCUGCUGUGCGCUGAGAUCUUCCCAUCAGAGGCCUCCGGGUGGUGUGAUCACUGCGCUCCAGGGAGAAGCUUCCCUUCACAGCCCACUGUGGCCUGGAACAUCCUUUGGGAGGAGUUUCAAGCAAACCCUGGUUUGGGCCUGCAUGGUCACCAGAAGGAGGAGACAGAGAGAAAGAGCAAACAAGUCACCAGAACUAAGACUUGAACCACAGUUGGCCAUGCGGGAGUCCAGUGCCCUAACCACCACGCCACCCAUUGGACAUCGAAGUCAGCAUUCUACAGGUACUGAGUUCAACUUGGGGAAGAUGAAAACUGCCGGAGACCUGCUCCAGCCGAGGUUCAGCACCAACCACAGUAGCACACACUGGACAGUGCUGCUUGGCCAUGUGGGAGUCCUGAGUUCCCAAGUUCAGGUUCCGGUUCACCCUGAAAGGUCAGUGUGAUGAUAAACAACUGUGGUCUCAGCUACUCGGGAAGUUAAAGUGGAGGGAUCACAACACACUGACACCCUGUUGAACAUACCACAGACACAUCACCACAGACAAACACAGAUUUCACUGGUAAACACUCUCAUGUCUAUUUCACCAGACAUAAAAAGAGUGAAGGACUCGUGCAUGUCACGACACGGACAAACCACAGAAACAACAGAAGUGAAUGAGGCAGGGCACCAAAGGCCACACAGUGUGUGAGCCCAUGUAUGUGGACCAUCCAGGACAGGUGGGUCCAGAGACAGAAAGCACAGUGGGCAGGGCUGGGGUGGGGAAGUAACUCUUCGAGGUUGCCAAGUUUCCUUUCAGGUCAUCAGAAUGCUCCAAAGUCCACAGACGGUUACCCCACGCUGCUGAUGUGGUCAACUCCUUACAGAAGGCUAGUGUGGUGACGGUUACAUCAUGUGAAUUUACGUAUUAAACAAAUAAAACAUACAGGCCAUCAGGGCUGAUGCAGGAUGAGGCUCACUGGCUGACUGCGGCGGGGACUCGCUCAGCCUGUCCUUUGGGAUGGAUCACAUGCAGGGGCCAUCUCCUGGCAUUCCUUGCCUAGUGAGACCAUGGUGGCUGUAUGGGUGGGAGAUUACCACGAGGAGUGCCUUGGAGUUAUG
Molecule: long non-coding RNA, 1173 nt
Organism: Tupaia belangeri chinensis (Chinese tree shrew)
Lineage: Eukaryota; Metazoa; Chordata; Mammalia; Scandentia; Tupaiidae
Exons: 4
Source: RefSeq, a predicted model, not a curated record